UUAGUUUUAUUCUAACUAAAAGAUUAGUGAAUUUUAAUAAAUCUUAUGCUUAAUUUUAAUAAAAAUAAAUAUAUACAUACCAGGAGUAGUGACGUAUAUUACACUAUGUUUUCCAAUAGCAGCGAUUAGCGUUAUAUAAUGUGUUAAAGCACGAAACAAUUUAAAUACCAUCGAAGGCCUCAUUCGUGCCAGCGGCAGCGGUUAUACAAAUGAUCAUCUAACAAAUAAAAUCUGUAAUAAGGACAUUAUAAAAAUAAUUUAAUGGUCAAAUAUUUAUAUAUAUUGGGUUUAAUAUGUCAUUUAAUAAACUAUAAACCAAAACAAGGAUUAGAUACCCUUUUAUUAUUAGUAUAAAAAUAAGAUUGGAGACUACGAGUAAUAACUUAAAAACCCAAGAAUUUGGCGGUGUCUUAUUCAAUCAGGGGGGCCUGUUCAAUAAAUCGACAGUCCACGAAUAAUAUACCUUAUUUUGAAUAUAACAGCAUGUGUACUGCCGUCCUAUAGGCCCUUAUGGUUACCUAUAAAUAAAUAAAUUUAUUUUACGUCAGGUCAAAGUGCAGUUAACAAUAAGGAUGCUAUGGGCUACAGACUAUAACAUAGUCUAAUUAACAAAUUAAAGUUGUUUUAUAGAAGAACUUGAUAGUAAUUAUAUUAAUAUUAUAAUGAAAUUGAACUUAAGAUAAGCACAUAUCGCCCGUCACUCCUUUAUAUAGGAUAAGUCGUAACAUAGUAGGAGUAAUGGAAAUUGCAUCUGU
This 755-nucleotide ribosomal RNA is filed under the name Gastrostomobdella monticola. Its description in RNAcentral is "12S ribosomal RNA". The record is from RNAcentral. Lineage: Eukaryota; Metazoa; Annelida; Clitellata; Hirudinida; Gastrostomobdellidae.